AUUGAACGCUGGCGGAAUGCUUUACACAUGCAAGUCGAACGGCAGCACGGGGCAACCUGGUGGCGAGUGGCGAACGGGUGAGUAAUAUAUCGGAACGUGCCCAAUCGUGGGGGAUAACGUAGCGAAAGUUACGCUAAUACCGCAUACGAUCUACGGAUGAAAGCGGGGGAUCGCAAGACCUCGCGCGAAUGGAGCGGCCGAUAUCAGAUUAGGUAGUUGGUGGGGUAAAGGCUCACCAAGCCAACGAUCUGUAGCUGGUCUGAGAGGACGACCAGCCACACUGGAACUGAGACACGGUCCAGACUCCUACGGGAGGCAGCAGUGGGGAAUUUUGGACAAUGGGCGCAAGCCUGAUCCAGCCAUUCCGCGUGCAGGAUGAAGGCCUUCGGGUUGUAAAC
This 398-nucleotide ribosomal RNA is filed under the name uncultured bacterium. Its description in RNAcentral is "bacterial SSU rRNA". It matches the Rfam family "Bacterial small subunit ribosomal RNA", at positions 30 to 430 of the family's 1533-position model. The record is from RNAcentral.